RNAcentral lists this long non-coding RNA (9407 nucleotides) under Mytilus galloprovincialis (Mediterranean mussel). The record is from RNAcentral. Lineage: Eukaryota; Metazoa; Mollusca; Bivalvia; Mytilida; Mytilidae.
UACAGCAUUCCUCGAUUGAAUACUUUAAUUUCCUGUGUUAUUUAAGUAGCCACUUCUUUUAAAAAGUUAUCUUAUUAUCAUUAAGUCUGCUAUUACAGAGCAUGGUAAGUUAUUAUUUAUUUACUUAGAAAUGAAAGUCCGUCUGAUCUGAUAAUGUCUGCUUUUGUUGUUUGUCAAUGAAUUAAAGUUGUUAAACACAAUUGAUACUUUGUUUAACAUGUUUAAAUAAACCCAUCAUAGAUACCAAGACUAAAUUUAGUAUAUACGUCAGUCUACAAAAGACUCAUCAGUGACACUCGAAUCCCAAAAAGUAAAAAAAUGCCAAAUAAAGUACGAAGUUGAAGAGCAUUGAGGACCAAAAUUCCGAAAAGUUUUGCCAAAUGCAGCUAAGGUAAUCUAUGCCCGAGGUAGAAAAACCUUAGUAUUUCAAAAAAUUCAAAAAUUUGUAAACAGUAAAUUUACAAAUAUAACCAUAUCAAUGACAAUUCAUGUCAGCACAAAAAGUGCUGACUACUGGGCUUGUGAUACCCUCGGGGAAAUAAAUCUCUACCAGCAGUGGCAUCGACCAAGUGGUUGUAAACUCAUCAUAGAUACCAGGACUAAAUUUAGUAUAUACGCCAGACGCGCGUAAUUGAUGGUAUAUGUAUAAUAUAUAGUCCGUUGUGUAGCUCGUGGAAUAUGAUAAAUAUUACCAACUCUACUCCUCGCCGUAGACGCAGUCAUGGUCAUCGUCAUUAUACAUCACCUGCUCUGUACGAUUUGAUGCCAUAUAAAUAAAAGCGGUUAGGUAUCAUAACUAUUACCCCUUAAAACUUAAGUUUCUGUUGUGUCGUUAUUCCCCUCUUAUAUUUGAUGUGUUUCCCUCAGUUUUAGUUUGUAACACGGAAUUGGUUUUAUUUCAAUCGAUUGAUGCAUUUCGAAAGAAGGGAUACAUCCUACUUUGUACAGGAUCACUCUGAUUCAACAAAACUUUUUUUUUUAAACUGAAGUUUUCAAGAUGCUUGAUUUCUUGAUAGACAACAUAUCUGUUACGUUAGGAGGACAUGUUUUUCAUCAGACUUUCGCCAUUCCGAUUAGAACAAAUUGUGCUGCUCUUCUAUCCGACUUGUUUUUAACUAAUAUACAUAGGAAGAAAGAUAAGAAGUUAGCAAUAUUCUUUUACUUUACUUUCCACUGUGAAUAUAUAAUGAAUGUUUACAAAUUUUCGUUUUAGUAUUACAGUAUCAUGAUGAAAUUUUGUUGUUUGAUUGUAAUCAUCCUCUACACAAUUCAUGUUUCUACUGGCGGAAGUAAGUAUUCUUUGUGUUUUAUCGUAUACAGGUAUGUGCUGUCCUUACUUAUACACAAUAGAAUUACCUGAUUUUACAUCAAUACAUAAUUGUAUUGUAUGUGCUAGACCACUUUAAAUCAAUAAAAAGAAACUUAAAAAAUGACAAAGUAUAUAACGCUCGUAUACAAGAAUGGUCAGGAAUAUGGCAGCUGAUUCAUAUAGUCCGUUUCUAGGUAUGUUGGCGCUUGCCUUGUUGACGUUUAGUGAUUUCGUUGUUUCUGGAAUUUUUCCUCUCAAAGUUGAUGUGUUAACCUCGGUUUAAGUUUGUUACCGGAAUUGGUUUUUGAGUAGUGAAAUUAUGACUAUUGAACAACAGUAACACGACGGAUGCCACAUGUAGAGCAGGAUAUACUUACCCUUCGAGAGCAACCAAAAUUUAGGGUUGGGUUUGUUGUUGUACCCCUAUUUGUGACACUUUGUUCGUGCAUCGAUGUCAAUAUAAUGACAUUUGAUGCGAUUGUCGUACAAGUGAGAGGUUUAGCGCUAUAAAACCAGGUUCAAUCUACCAUGUUCUACAUGUGAAAAUGCUUGUACCAAGUCUUGAAUAUGACAGUUGUUGUCCAUUUGUUUGAUUCGUUUUUUAAAAUUUGAUUUUGCCAUUUGAUUAGGAACUUUCCGUUUUGAAAUUUCCUCGGAGUUCAGUAUUUUUGUGAUUUUACUUUAUACUACUAUUGCCUUUAUUUAAUUACCGGUAUCUCGAUAUGGGUCAUGUUGAAUCUAAGACAAUGAAUGUGUCCUUAAUUUAAAUUCGAGUAAAAAUAUGAAUAACUUAAUUUAACAUGUUUAAUGUUUCUUUGAAUUAAAUCUAUCAGAAAAAAAUGUUGUUCAUAUGAAACAUUCACCUUACGUUAAAAAUAAAAUAAGGUUAUUAUAAGAGGUUUGGGUUUCAAUUUAUAUGAACCUAUUUUACUUUCCAUAAACUCAUUACCGCAAUGAAGAAUUUAACUUUAAGAGUACGACUAAAACAGGUUUUUUUUCAAAUAAAAGCUAUUUUCUUAUUGUAUAAUGCAGAAAUUGGAGCUCAUAAUGUCACAUUAUAUUUAAGAACUUUACUCUUUAGAACUCACAGGAAAGUGUCUUGUUUCAAAUGGGACAUGUGGACGGAAAGGUCUUACUUGUGAUGAUGGAUCGAAAAAGAAAGAUGUUGCAAUGGAGAACCAUGUUGUAAAUGUAAGUAAACACAUAAAGCAUGAUCGAUAGUUCUUGUCCCUUCUAUAAAAAAUGAAACAUAGGCAAAAGAUCAUGAUGUAAAAUAAGAUUAAACAAUAUAAAAAGCAAUAUAUUAUUGUCUUUGAAUUAAACGUACAUAUUUGACACCUUUUAUCAAGUUAUGUUAACAACAAAAUAUAACAAAAUAUCAUUAGAACACAAGGUUCUCAAACAAUGACGAUAUUAUACAGUCACUUGUUUUACAUUUUUAUGGAAAAACAAUGCCGAUAAUGUAUACAAUUGUCAUCAUUAAGGAUACACCAGAACAAUAAAAUUAAAUUAUUAAACUAAUUUAAUUUUAAUUUUAAAAAUUGUAAGAAGUUAAUUUCUAAUUUCUGCUAAGUUUCAGAGAUCAAUGCCCUAUAAAAAUAGUUUGGACAAAUAACGAUUUAAACACAUCACAAUUUGUUUUAUGUGAUCUGGAAAAAGUUAAUAAAUGGAAUCAUUUAGCAACCAGUCCUAUUGUUGGCUACUUUUCUACAGCUUUGCCUGCGUGACAGAUUUUUUACGUGAUUCUCAUGACCAAUCUCAUGGUUGGAGACCACAGCCUACCUGCUCUUUCUCAAUAAUAUGUUAUAUCAAAAUAAUUGAAAAUUUCAUCCACUCUAAUUCAAAAUAUGGACAAUUUUAAAAUUUAUGUUGUGGGGAUCUAGAAAACUUUUGACAGCUUCUGAAAUGCUUAUUUUAAAUCUGUUUUAGCUGGACCUAAUCACUACUCGUGUAUAAAAACUUAGAUAUCUAACCUUGAGUCAUAUCAUUUUUAUUAGUUAAAUCUAAAAAUAUAUAUUUUACUUAAAAUAUAUCGAUAACGCAAACACAAAUAAGGUAUGCAUAUUACUCACCUCAUAGCAAUAAUCAUAUUAUUUUGCGAGAAUGCAGUAUAUUGGUCAUUCUAUUUCAAAGAAGUUAAAUCACCUUUGGUGUAAUAUCCUAGAUAGAAUGUAUUACUAUUUUUCAUUGAUGAAUUUUGGUUUACCCUAUCUAGUUGUUAACAGUUGCCUUAUACAGUACAACCAUUCUAUAUAGGUUUAUCACGGUGUGUAUGUCGUCAAAAUACCAUGGGUUUAAUUUGACGAAAUAGUUGUCUUCCUCGUGGCAGUUAUACAUUACAUUUUCAUCCUGCCAAUGUUGUACAUAUAACCUAAUGACAUUUGUUGGUGUCAUCAGUUAAUUCAAUGUUGCAGCUAUUUUUUUCAAUAUUUAACUCUUAUUGUGUUAUAAAAAAUAGUACCAUGUGUUCCCACUGCCAAUUGUGCUGAAGGAUAUGUGCUGUUAGAUAACCAAACCGCUAGUCGUAAUUGCUACGCUCACUCUAAACCGGAUCACCUUUACGAAACAUGGGCUAAUGCUUUGGUGAGUAUGUUUUAUGUUGUAUCAGAUUCAAUUUUCCCUUAUUCAAGUAUUGUUGAUUUUGAGUGGUUGAUAUGUUAUGAAAUAUGAAAGCAUACAUGUCUGAGAAAUUAUUCAAACGGAUCUACCUUUUUUCAUGUCUAUCAUUGUUUUUGUUAUCAAUAAAAUUGAGAAUGGAAAUAAAGAAUGGGAAACACAUAUGUGCCUUUGUCUUCUUUCACAGAGACGCUUGACAUUUUAUUUCAAUUAAUUAAUAUUUGUUUUUGUAUAUGGAUGGAAGACCACAGAAUAAUAGCAUUAUAUUAAACAUAUUUAACUCAAUUACCUCUAUUUAUAGUUGAUUGAUUGAUGUUGGUGUUUAACGCCACUUUCAGCAAUAUCUUCUGAACAUGAUAUUUUUCUGCAAAAAAGAGGUAUCAAUGUGAGGCGAAUACUUAGUGAUACCAUGAAAAUAACUAUCGUUAAGAAACGUAUCGGUCAAGAUUGAAUUAUAAAACAUAAGUAUUACUUAAUAGCGAUAGAAAUACAUGAAAAAAUAAUCCAUGUAUAUCGGGUUCUAUUUAAAAAUACAUGCAUAUUGUAUACAUUGAAGAUUAACCAAUAAUGUAUGCAUUAUCACUGCAAUGUUAAAAUAGAUGAUUCAUUAUUUUACAGGGAACUUCUCAUGGGUAUUAUAAGCUCGAAUUUAAACGCUCAACCAACUGAACAUUCACAUACAUCGUAGGCUUGAAGUCAGGGUUUGUCGAAACCGAGGAGAUCAAAUAUCUAAAAAUAUAGCAUUGUUCCCAAGCCAGACAGAACUUAAAAUACCUGAAACCAAUCGUUAGUAAAUCACUGAAUUGCGUACGGAUUAGUUAAAAGCUCACAUAAGUUAUUAAUUGCCGUGCUUUCUGCUCCGGUGUGAAAAUGUUUAUUUGUUGUCUAAUCUUUAUUUAUCUUAUAAAAUGUAUGGACUGUUCUUAAUUUAAGUCGAUAUGUAACAUGACAACCAGGCGCUUAUUAUGGAGACCAAUAGUCAAGCAGAAAGCUAUGCUGUUUUAAACUGUUUAGAUGCGGUAAAUCUAUUAUUACGUUACUAUUAUUUCAUUUUCAUAUUGUAAACUAAUAACAACAGCGUCUAUUGAUUGACUAACAUUUUAUUUUACUAUUCUUAGAAAUUAUGAAAAAAAUACUUCACUUUUUAACCAUCAAAUCAGUUGAACGACAUUAUAUCUUCACACAUAUGGUUUGUAAUUUUUGAAUUUUACUGCCAUCCUAAUAGCACAAAAGAUUGAGAGAGCAAGUAAUUCUACUUGAUGAGUUUUUAGUUUUAAAAAACAUAUGGAAAUGUGCUAAAACAACAGAUACGGAUUGUAUUACCCAAGCUUAAGUUAAAAUAAAAUAUGCAUAUAUAAAGAAGAUUUGGUUUUGAAGUUUGGUUGUUCCUGUAAACAAACUUAUUUCAAAAACGGUAUAGCACAUCUCUAAUUUACGGAAAUGAUAUUUUCCGUGCCCGGAAAUUAAGAAACAAUCCUGGUAUAGCAUCUUCUCUAAUUUACGAAAUGUUGUUUACCGUACCCCGGAAAUUAAGAAACAAUCCUGGUAUAGCACCUCCUCUAAUUUACAGAAAUGUUGUUUACCGUACCCGGAAAUUAAGAAACAAUCCUGGUAUAGCACCUCCUCUAAUUUACGGAAAUGUUGUUUACCGUGCCCGGAAAUUAAGAAACAAUCCUGGUAUAGCACCUCCUCUAAUUUCAAAUUUUCAGCAAUAUCUUCUGAACAUGAUAUUUUUCUGCAAAAAAAAAUAAUGGCAUUUAUAUGGUCGUGUGGUCUAGCGGGACGGCUACAGUGCCGGCGAUUUGGAUCAACGAUAAAUUUACCGCUGCUGGAAAUUAAGAACAAUCUGGUAUAGCACCUUCUCUAUUUUACGGAAAUGUUGUUUCCGUGCCCGGAAAAUAAGGAAAACAAAUCCUGGUAACUUUAAUAAACUUAUCCUGUUACCAUCAAACACUGUUUUAGAUACUGAAAUAUGUUUUUAUUGGUAUCAAUAUUAAUUUUGAAAUAGAUAAAUUAAAAGCCAAACACACGUGACAAGUAACACUACGACAUUGAAGUUAUAAUUUGAUAUAGCGGAUGUGGUCAAGUUGGUCUAUACGCGCAGGAUAUGAAGCUAGCGAUUGGUAGUGUAGUAUAUCAAAGGUGUGGAGUUUCGAAUCCCGCUGAGGGACGCGACUAAAAUUGUUCAGGAAAAAUCUAACUCUUACACUGUUGUGUAUUUUCAGACUAUAUAUAUUAUAUAUAUAUAUAAUACAACUCAUCUAAAAUCAACCCAACAAUGUGUAGAUCUGUAAAUUUGCUUUCGCAAUUUACUUUGUUUUCCUCGCCGGGAUUUGGAACCAUGCUACUUUCGAGAAUAAGUCGGAAUACCAAAGAUCGCCUGCACUGUAGCGUCCGGACCAUAAGACACCUACGAUAUCCAAUAUUAUAUGGCAUUUUUAUUCUUACUUUCGUCUUAAGUCUUUAUAUGGUCUUCUUACUCAUUACAACCAAAACUGUAUUGGUAUUCAGAGAACCAGAUAUGCGUUAGGCUUUGAGAGAUAUGAUGUAGAUGUUAUGUAGUACAAAUAUCAAUAUAUUUGCGAAUUUCCAUGGGUUAUAGGAACAAAUUUGUGAAAUUAUUUGAUAAAAUGAAUAUUGAGUCAAAUUAGGCUUUCCGGUGCCGUUUGUUUUCCUUUCCACGUCAGUUUUAAUCAACGGUCGUAUUACAUUACAUGAUAGUAUAAGGUAUAGACUGUUAUUCUUAACAGAUUCAGUUAAAUAUAUCUAUACGUAAGGAUCUGACAAAAUCAUGUAAGAUACAGUCACAGAAAAUCAAUUAUAUUAUAAGCUACGCUUUAUCCUAUCGGAUUCACAGCAGUGAUAGGUGAUACAUUGUCUGUGACUUAUGUUUAGACAACUCGUCUAAACAUUUAGUCGCAACAACGUUAGAUUGAAAAUUUGCUUUCGCAAAUUUUUUGUUCUUCCCUCGUCGGAUUGGAAUGCCCAUGCUGUACUGAAGAUAUCUGUGCAUACCAAAUCGCUCUGCACUUGUAGCCGUCCGCUAGACCACACGACACCUGGGGUUUUAAUCAAGCGUCGAUCAUUACAUCGAUAUACUAAGGCAGUGAAGAUGUCAUUCUUUACAGAUCAGUAAAAUUUCUAUAGUUAAAGGAUCCUACAAAUUAAUGGUAAGAUACAGUCCCAGAAAUAAUUAUAUUUUAUUCACAGUACGUCUGAGCCAGUGACAGCCUCUACAACAGAUUUAUCCAUCGGAUCACCAGCAUGAUGGUGUUUACAUGGUUGUGCGUACACUAUGUAUAUAACAAUCAGGCUAAGACAUCAACUCGAACAAUUGGUAGAAGUCUGUAAAUUUGCUUUCGCAAAUAUUUGUUCUUCCCUCAAGAGGAUUUGAACCCAUGCUACUGAUAUAUCGUGACGCAGUGCAGGCGAUUUGGUGUCACGAUAUUUCAGUAGCAUGGGUUCGACACAAACUCGCCUGCAGUGAUGUUUCAGCUUUUGAGGUCAGUAAAAUAUAUGUUUAUUUAAGUUUCAGUUGUCUUUCAUAUAACUAUAUGGGAUAGGGUUUGGGUAGGUCUAAGACAGUAUUUGCUACAGUCAUAUGGACUGGUGCAAAUAGUCCUGGUCAAGACGGAAAUUUUGCAUUUGCCGUAGACAAUAGUGGAUAUUACAUAUUACACUUUGAAAUCAGUUUUGUGUUAGUCUAAGACAGUAUUUACGAACUGACAGCUGGGAUUAAGAAUCUUCCUACAAGUCUUAUGAUACUAAUUAUAAGUCAAUUCCUUUUAGGCUCUGCAAUAUGGACUGGUGCAUAUAGUCCUGGCCAAGACGGAAAUUUUGUAUUUGCUGUAGACAAUGGUGUUUUUAACUUUACGAAUAUUCCCUUUGGAAGCGGUAAGAAUCUUCGAAGAUAAUUAAGUAAACCGAACUAUUGUUUAAAAUGUACUGUUUAUAAUACUUAUGUCAUAUAUGUGUAAUCAAAAGAUACUUCGAUCAUAAUGAAAAAAGCAGAAGAGUUUGGGAUAUAUGGAUAAAAUUGAUGUGAGAUAUACGUCAAUGUGACAGUAAACACAAAAAAAGACAUAACGAGGUCAAACUACUCAUAGUACUGUUAUCAAAAGAAGAAGUCUUAAAUCGUACGAGGUUGCUAAAUUUCGAAAGAAACUGGAUUUAUGUCAUAACAUUCACCACUUCUAAUCGAAAGGGAGUACGAUAAAGUACAUACAAUAAACAAAAGUACAGCAAACUUUAAAUCAGUUAAAAGACGAUACAACGAUAACGAUAUCACAAAAAAAGGCAAAAGUACAUUACCGAUGUUCUGAUAUCCUAAAUCGAUAAGGAAGACAAACGAAGGUUAAAUAAAAAAAAAAUGGAAUCUUAGGAACACAACAAGAAGCAAUACCGGAUGUUUCGAAAAUGUUUGCAUUAAAAAUUCGAAUCUGGAGAUAGACAUCAGAUAACAUAAUAAUAUAACAUCUUCACACGCUUAAAAACACGUGUCUUAUUUCUAUCUCUAGUUUAGUCUUUCGUGACAAGGUAACACUACGACUUUUGAAGUUAUAUUUUAAUAUGUGGUCGAAUGGUUGGUCUAGAGCGUCUUGUCAGCAGAAAAUGUAACUCUUACACUGUUGGGUGUACUUGUCAGACUUAUAUAUCAUAAGUAAGUCUGAGUCAGUGACAACUCUACAACAGAUUUAUCCAUCGGAUCACCAGCAAUGAUGGAGAUACAGGUGUGUAUAUAUGUAUAUAACAACUCGUCUUAAACAUCAACCCCAACAAUGUUAGUCUGUAAUUUGCUUUGCUAAUUUUUGUUCUUCCCUCGCGGGAUUCGAAUAUGCCUACUGAGAAUAUCAGGAACAGCAAAUCGCCUGCACUGAUAUCGACGCGCUAGAUCCAAGCUCCACCCUUGGCGUUCAUUAAAAUAAGCUGUCGUGGCCGUGUUUCCUUUCCUCGUCAGUUUUUAUCUAGCGUGCAAAUACUGUACAUUGAUAUAAAAGGCAUGAAGAUGGAAUGAUACAGAUCAAGCUAAAAUAUCUAAUUUGGUAAAGGAUCUUUACAAAUUAAUUCAAGAUACAGUCACAGAAAUAAUUAUAUUUAUAAGUACAUCUGAACCAGUGACAACUCUACAACUAUAUAUAUAUAUAUAUCACUUGAGUCAAAUGGCUAAAUGAUCUUGAAUGACGAAUUUUACCGAUUUCUUGCUUUUCUACAGAAGCUAUUGUAUAUAUUUUUGACAACGGCUUUGUCUAUCAAAACUGUCGUUUUCCUUAUCUUUUUUUUCUGAUUUUUAUUUAAUUGUUUUUAUACGUUUUUUAGCAUGUAUUCUAAAAUAAAUGCCUUUUUUCUUUUUUUCAGUUGAUACGUCUUCAAUUACCCAAAACUGUAUUGGUAUUGAUAUUAGUUUUGAAGCAAAUGCGUUUUGGAUGGAUUUAGAUUGUAGUUACACAUUUAAAUAUAUUUGCGAAUUUCCAUGGGUUAGUAG